RNAcentral lists this long non-coding RNA (273 nucleotides) under Eucalyptus grandis. RNAcentral describes it as "long non-coding RNA (EGRA_LNC005916)". Lineage: Eukaryota; Viridiplantae; Streptophyta; Magnoliopsida; Myrtales; Myrtaceae. The record is from RNAcentral.
GCUUCACUCUUGAAGAAAUAAGUUCAACGAGGAAGACGAUGAACAGUAGUUUUUAAGGGUAUAAUAGGAAAACGUAAUUAUCAGUGAGGGCAAUAUUGGAAGAAAAAAAAUUCAUUAAUCCCCUCUUCAGCAUUCCGAAAAUGCUGAAUGCCCAAAGCAGGUCCCCACCUACUUUGGGCUUUCAGCAUUCCAGAGCAUUCCAAAUGCUAGCAUUCCCCCAAGUAUGGCUCCAAAUGCUGAACCAAAUGGUUGAAAUUUUUCCCAAGGGGCUUU